Molecule: small nuclear RNA, 164 nt
Filed under: Salvator merianae (Argentine black and white tegu)
Lineage: Eukaryota; Metazoa; Chordata; Lepidosauria; Squamata; Teiidae
Description: U1 spliceosomal RNA (ENSSMRG00000014724.1)
Rfam family: U1 spliceosomal RNA
About the family: U1 is a small nuclear RNA (snRNA) component of the spliceosome (involved in pre-mRNA splicing).
Source: RNAcentral
AUACUUACCUGGCAGGGGAGACACCAUGAUCAUGAAAGGUACUUCUUCCAGGGUGAGGCUCAUCCAUUGCACUCUGGGUGUGCUAUCCCUGUGUGAUUUCCCCAAAUGUGGGAAGCUUGAUUGUAUAAUUUGUGGUAGUGGGGACUACAUUCGCACUUUCCCCU